RNAcentral lists this ribosomal RNA (492 nucleotides) under uncultured bacterium. Its description in RNAcentral is "partial 16S ribosomal RNA". It matches the Rfam family "Bacterial small subunit ribosomal RNA", at positions 29 to 507 of the family's 1533-position model. The record is from RNAcentral.
AGUGAACGCUGGCGGUAGGCCUAACACAUGCAAGUCGAACGGCAGCACAGUAAGAGCUUGCUCUUACGGGUGGCGAGUGGCGGACGGGUGAGGAAUACAUCGGAAUCUACUUUUUCGUGGGGGAUAACGUAGGGAAACUUACGCUAAUACCGCAUACGACCUACGGGUGAAAGCAGGGGAUCUUCGGACCUUGCGCGAUUGAAUGAGCCGAUGUCGGAUUAGCUAGUUGGCGGGGUAAAGGCCCACCAAGGCGACGAUCCGUAGCUGGUCUGAGAGGAUGAUCAGCCACACUGGAACUGAGACACGGUCCAGACUCCUACGGGAGGCAGCAGUGGGGAAUAUUGGACAAUGGGCGCAAGCCGGAUCCAGCCAUACCGCGUGGGUGAAGAAGGCCUUCGGGUUGUAAAGACCUUUUGUUGGGAAAGAAAAGCAGCAGGUUAAUACCCCGCUGUUCUGACGGUACCCAAAGAAUAAGCACCGGCUAACUUCGUG